AAGGAAAGAGGGAGGCAUGCCUAACACAUGCAAGUCGAACGAUUCUUUCGGGCCUAGUGGCGCACGGGUGCGUAACGCGUGGGAACCUGCCCUUGGGUUCGGAUUAACUUCGGGAAUUAGCUGCUAAUACCGGCUCUUGUCUUCGGUCCAAAGAUUUAUCGCCCUUGGAUGAGCCGGCGUGGUAUUAGAUAGUUGGUAGGGUAAUUGCCUACCAAGGCGUCGUUACGUAGCUGGUCUGAGAGGCUGAGCAGCCACACUGGGACUGAGACACGGUCCAGACUCCUACGGGAUGCAGCAGUGGGGAAUAUUGGACAAUGGGCGGUAGCCUGAUGCAGCAAUGAUGCGUGAGUGAUGAAGGCCGGAGGGUUGGAAAGCUAGUUUACACGGGAUGAUAAUGACAGUACCGGGAGAAUAAGCACCGGCUAACUCCGUG
This 433-nucleotide ribosomal RNA is filed under the name uncultured bacterium. Its description in RNAcentral is "partial 16S ribosomal RNA". It matches the Rfam family "Bacterial small subunit ribosomal RNA", at positions 26 to 507 of the family's 1533-position model. The record is from RNAcentral.